This is a non-coding RNA of Pelodiscus sinensis (Chinese soft-shelled turtle), 1215 nucleotides long. The record is from RefSeq and is a predicted model, not a curated record. NCBI's taxonomy places the organism in Eukaryota, Metazoa, Chordata, Testudines, Trionychidae.
UUAGGAUGCACGCCACUCUUGCUGCUGCUCAGACCUCUACUCCUUGCAGUCCUUGUGUGGCUGAGCUUGAGCUGUGGCACAUGCCCUAUAGUGAGCUGCAGCCUGUCAGUUGCCCCAUCACCAGCACCAAGGAGUUCAAGGCCUCUACAAAUCUUGGCUUCAGUUGGGUAGAUGGAGUUGAAAGUGAAGUUUCAUCUGGUAUAACAUCUUGAAUCAUCUGGGACACAGAACUUUAUGCUGGGGAGAAGAGGAAGAAGGAGGAAGAAGGGAGAGGGAGAGAACUGCAACCAUUUCGAAUGGACUAGAACUUCAUCUUGUUAAAUCUUCAGCCAAGACUUUCCGUGUCGUGUGACCACAAACAUAAACAGAAUGUUGUACAGUAAGCAAGGGUGUGGGGCAGUUACACUGGUUUUUUGGAUUAUGUUUGGAUGGACUCAUUAUUAAAGUCUUCAGCGUUAUCUAUUUAGGACAGACAUUCCAUUAAUUUUUUUAAAAAGUACUUGCACAACUUGUUCAGUGAAAUCCCGAAAUAGUGAACAUUUCUAGUAAGUCAAGCUAAAGCCACCCCCCAUAUUUGUAGUAAAGUAAGGAGUUCCAUUUGAGACUAUAUUCUGGCUUCAAAGGAAGAUACCUCUAUCUAAUGAAUUGAUCUCAUAGAUGAAAGUUAUCAGGGAUUUAAGGAAUAGGUGACUAUACGCCAAACAGGUUAAAAUAAAAGAUUUGGUUGAUUAUUAGAUGCUAAUUUUAAAAAAUACCCAUGUGUGCACUGUUAACCACUGAAGCUAAUCGGCCUAUUCAAAUGCUUAUUCUUAAAUGUGCACAUAUCUUUGCAGAAUGGAGCCCAUGAUUAGGAGCAGGCUUCAGAAGGAAGAAAAGUAACAUUUACAUUCUUAAUUCAAAUUCAUGAAAAGAACAGAUUGAAUAUAAUAUAAACUGAAAAUAGCUAAUGGUAUACUUUAACUUGGUAUCCCCCCUCUCCCAAUAAAGUUUAGGACUCUUCUGGUAUGUGAGAAAUUUCCUUUGUACAACUAAAAUAUUAUCCAUGCUAAGUAAGGUGGCAAUUUUUGCAAGUCUUUUUUUUAAACAAUUGUUUUUUUAAAUUUUUAAAGAUUCUAUUCAUUGGAUAGAGAGGGGAAAGGCAAAAUACAUUUUAGAUGAAGUAAACAGUACCAAAACUGUCAUCUUUCAGUUUCUUAGGGGAUAACACUGGUGGUU